RNAcentral lists this ribosomal RNA (375 nucleotides) under uncultured eukaryote. RNAcentral's name for it is "partial 18S ribosomal RNA". It matches the Rfam family "Eukaryotic small subunit ribosomal RNA", at positions 592 to 976 of the family's 1831-position model. The record is from RNAcentral.
CAAUAGCGUAUAUUUAAGUUGUUGCAGUUAAAAAGCUCGUAGUUGGAUUUCGGUUAAGAGCGACCGGUCCGCCGUUUGGUGUGCACUGGUUGGUUUUAACUUCCUGUAGAGGACGUGCUCUGGGUUUAACGACCUGGACUCGGAGUCUACGUGGUUACUUUGAAAAAAUUAGAGUGUUCGAAGCGGGCUUACGCUUGAAUAUUUCAGCAUGGAAUAACACUAUAGGACUCCUGUCCUAUUUCGUUGGUCUCGGGACGGGAGUAAUGAUUAAGAGGAACAGUUGGGGGCAUUCGUAUUUCAUUGUCAGAGGUGAAAUUCUUGGAUUUAUGAAAGACGAACUUCUGCGAAAGCAUUUGCCAAGGAUGUUUUCAUUAA